AAAUUGAAGAGUUUGAUCAUGGCUCAGAUUGAACGCUGGCGGCAGGCCUAACACAUGCAAGUCGAACGGUAACAGGAAGCAGCUUGCUGCUUCGCUGACGAGUGGCGGACGGGUGAGUAAUGUCUGGGAAACUGCCUGAUGGAGGGGGAUAACUACUGGAAACGGUAGCUAAUACCGCAUAAUGUCGCAGGACCAAAGAGGGGGACCUUCGGGCCUCUUGCCAUCAGAUGUGCCCAGAUGGGAUUAGCUUGUUGGUGAGGUAACGGCUCACCAAGGCGACGAUCCCUAGCUGGUCUGAGAGGAUGACCAGCCACACUGGAACUGAGACACGGUCCAGACUCCUACGGGAGGCAGCAGUGGGGAAUAUUGCACAAUGGGCGCAAGCCUGAUGCAGCCAUGCCGCGUGUAUGAAGAAGGCCUUCGGGUUGUAAAGUACUUUCAGCGGGGAGGAAGGGGAUAAGGCUAAUAACCUUGUUCAUUGACGUUACCCGCAGAAGAAGCACCGGCUAACUCCGUGCCAGCAGCCGCGGUAAUACGGAGGGUGCAAGCGUUAAUCGGAAUUACUGGGCGUAAAGCGCACGCAGGCGGUCUGUCAAGUCGGAUGUGAAAUCCCCGGGCUCAACCUGGGAACUGCAUUCGAAACUGGCAGGCUUGAGUCUUGUAGAGGGGGGUAGAAUUCCAGGUGUAGCGGUGAAAUGCGUAGAGAUCUGGAGGAAUACCGGUGGCGAAGGCGGCCCCCUGGACAAAGACUGACGCUCAGGUGCGAAAGCGUGGGGAGCAAACAGGAUUAGAUACCCUGGUAGUCCACGCCGUAAACGAUGUCUACUUGGAGGUUGUGCCCUUGAGGCGUGGCUUCCGGAGCUAACGCGUUAAGUAGACCGCCUGGGGAGUACGGCCGCAAGGUUAAAACUCAAAUGAAUUGACGGGGGCCCGCACAAGCGGUGGAGCAUGUGGUUUAAUUCGAUGCAACGCGAAGAACCUUACCUGGUCUUGACAUCCACGGAAGUUUUCAGAGAUGAGAAUGUGCCUUCGGGAACCGUGAGACAGGUGCUGCAUGGCUGUCGUCAGCUCGUGUUGUGAAAUGUUGGGUUAAGUCCCGCAACGAGCGCAACCCUUAUCCUUUGUUGCCAGCGGUCCGGCCGGGAACUCAAAGGAGACUGCCAGUGAUAAACUGGAGGAAGGUGGGGAUGACGUCAAGUCAUCAUGGCCCUUACGACCAGGGCUACACACGUGCUACAAUGGCGCAUACAAAGAGAAGCGACCUCGCGAGAGCAAGCGGACCUCAUAAAGUGCGUCGUAGUCCGGACUGGAGUCUGCAACUCGACUCCAUGAAGUCGGAAUCGCUAGUAAUCGUGGAUCAGAAUGCCACGGUGAAUACGUUCCCGGGCCUUGUACACACCGCCCGUCACACCAUGGGAGUGGGUUGCAAAAGAAGUAGGUAGCUUAACCUUCGGGAGGGCGCUUACCACUUUGUGAUUCAUGACUGGGGUGAAGUCGUAACAAGGUAACCGUAGGGGAACCUGCGGUUGGAUCACCUCCUUA
This 1542-nucleotide ribosomal RNA is filed under the name Salmonella enterica subsp. arizonae serovar 62:z4,z23:-. RNAcentral describes it as "Salmonella enterica subsp. arizonae serovar 62:z4,z23:-- Bacterial small subunit ribosomal RNA". It matches the Rfam family "Bacterial small subunit ribosomal RNA". Lineage: Bacteria; Pseudomonadati; Pseudomonadota; Gammaproteobacteria; Enterobacterales; Enterobacteriaceae. The record is from Rfam by way of RNAcentral.